This 296-nucleotide long non-coding RNA is filed under the name Heterocephalus glaber (naked mole-rat). RNAcentral's name for it is "lncRNA (ENSHGLG00100045174.1)". The record is from RNAcentral. Lineage: Eukaryota; Metazoa; Chordata; Mammalia; Rodentia; Bathyergidae.
CAAAUGAAAGCCAAUUUAAACCAUCCUAAACAAAAACUUGAGUGUAGUAGUUGGAAAGGAUCAUAGAGUAACUCAUAUAAUUCAAAGAGCUGUAGAGAUUGGGGUCUCAAGGGCCUGAUUCUAGAGCUGAGAACUCCUAGCAUUUGCAUAAUAGCCAUUUACUUGUAUUUUCCUCUACAGAGUGGCCUAAUGGACACUGUAGAAAGACUUCAUUAUGAGUUUCUGAAUUGCUCCAUUCCUGCAUCUUUCAGGACAAUGUCAUUCAUAAGGAUACAAGCUUUUUGAUUGGUGCCACC